CUUAUCAAGAGCGGCUGAGGGAACAGGCCCUAUGAAGCCCGGCAACCUGCAAUUUUUGCAAGGUGCUACAUCCUGCGGGUCAAACCGAAAGAUAAG
This 96-nucleotide non-coding RNA is filed under the name Pygmaiobacter massiliensis. Its description in RNAcentral is "SAM riboswitch (S box leader)". It matches the Rfam family "SAM riboswitch aptamer (S box leader)". Rfam says of the family: The SAM riboswitch is found upstream of a number of genes which code for proteins involved in methionine or cysteine biosynthesis in Gram-positive bacteria. The SAM riboswitch acts at the level of transcription termination control. Lineage: Bacteria; Bacillati; Bacillota; Clostridia; Eubacteriales; Oscillospiraceae. The record is from RNAcentral.